GACGAACGCUGGCGGCGUGCCUAAUACAUGCAAGUAGAACGCUGAAGGGAGAGCUUGCUCUUCUGGAUGAGUUGCGAACGGGUGAGUAACGCGUAGGUAACCUGCCUGGUAGCGGGGGAUAACUAUUGGAAACGAUAGCUAAUACCGCAUAACAUUGACUAUUGCAUGAUAGUCAAUUGAAAGGUGCAAAUGCACCACUACCAGAUGGACCUGCGUUGUAUUAGCUAGUUGGUGGGGUAACGGCUCACCAAGGCGACGAUACAUAGCCGACCUGAGAGGGUGAUCGGCCACACUGGGACUGAGAUACGGCCCAGACUCCUACGGGAGGCAGCAGUAGGGAAUCUUCGGCAAUGGACGGAAGUCUGACCGAGCAACGCCGCGUGAGUGAAGAAGGUUUUCGGAUCGUAAAGCUCUGUUGUAAGAGAAGAACGAGUGUGAGAGUGGAAAGUUCACACUGUGACGGUAUCUUACCAGAAAGGGACGGCUAACUACGUGCCAGCAGCCGCGGUAAUACGUAGGUCCCGAGCGUUGUCCGGAUUUAUUGGGCGUAAAGCGAGCGCAGGCGGUUAGAUAAGUCUGAAGUUAAAGGGCUGUGGCUUAACCAUAGUACGCUUUGGAAACUGUUUAACUUGAGUGCAGAAGGGGAGAGUGGAAUUCCAUGUGUAGCGGUGAAAUGCGUAGAUAUAUGGAGGAACACCGGUGGCGAAAGCGGCUCUCUGGUCUGUAACUGACGCUGAGGCUCGAAAGCGUGGGGAGCAAACAGGAUUAGAUACCCUGGUAGUCCACGCCGUAAACGAUGAGUGCCAGGUGUUGGGUCCUUUCCGGGACUCAGUGCCGCAGCUAACGCAUUAAGCACUCCGCCUGGGGAGUACGACCGCAAGGUUGAAACUCAAAGGAAUUGACGGGGGCCCGCACAAGCGGUGGAGCAUGUGGUUUAAUUCGAAGCAACGCGAAGAACCUUACCAGGUCUUGACAUCCCGGUGCCCGUCCUAGAGAUAGGAUUUUGCUUCGGCACACCGGUGACAGGUGGUGCAUGGUUGUCGUCAGCUCGUGUCGUGAGAUGUUGGGUUAAGUCCCGCAACGAGCGCAACCCUUAUUGUUAGUUGCCAUCAUUAAGUUGGGCACUCUAGCGAGACUGCCGGUAAUAAACCGGAGGAAGGUGGGGAUGACGUCAAAUCAUCAUGCCCCUUAUGACCUGGGCUACACACGUGCUACAAUGGCUGGUACAACGAGUCGCAAGUCGGUGACGGCAAGCUAAUCUCUUAAAGCCAGUCUCAGUUCGGAUUGUAGGCUGCAACUCGCCUACAUGAAGUCGGAAUCGCUAGUAAUCGCGGAUCAGCACGCCGCGGUGAAUACGUUCCCGGGCCU
RNAcentral lists this ribosomal RNA (1368 nucleotides) under uncultured bacterium. RNAcentral's name for it is "bacterial SSU rRNA". It matches the Rfam family "Bacterial small subunit ribosomal RNA", at positions 28 to 1381 of the family's 1533-position model. The record is from RNAcentral.